AUGAAGUUGAGACAGACGUACCUUGGUCAGAUUAUGAGUAUUACACGGAUACACAGUAUCAGGAUUACGAGUAUGAAACUGCCGCACCGACUUCGGCGUGCCACGAGACAACUGCCGCACCGACUUCGGCGUGCCACGAGACAACUGCCGCACCGACUUCGGCGUGCCACGAGACAACUGCCGCACCGACUUCGGCGUGCCACGAGACAACUGCCGCACCGACUUCGGCGUGCCACGAGACAACUGCCGCACCCACGUCAGCUUGCGCCAUCACGACUGAGUCACCGCUAUCACAUUGCAUCACGACUGCGCUCCCUCCGAAUACGACUGCGCUCCCUCCGAAUACGACUGCGCUCCCUCCGAAUACGACUGCGCUCCCUCCGAAUACGACUGCGCUCCCUCCGAAUACGACUGCGCUCCCUCCGAAUACGACUGCGCUCCCUACCACGACGGUCACGACCACGCUCCCGCCGAAUACGACCACUAUGGUCCCCACCACGACCACGCUCCCGCCGAAUACGACCACUAUGGUCCCCACCACGACCACGCUCCCGCCGAAUACGACCACUACGGUCCCCACCACGACCACGCUCCCGCCGAAUACGACCACUAUGGUCCCCACCACGACGACUCUCCCGCCGACGACGACCACGGCGGUCCCCACCACGACGACUCUCCCGCCGACGACGACCACGGCGGUCCCCACCACGACCACUCUCCCGCCGACGACGACCACGGCGGGUCCCCACCACGACGACUCUCCCGCCGACGACGACCACGGCGGUCCCCACCACGCCGACUCUCCCGCCGACGACGACCACGGCGGUCCCCACCACGACGACUCUCCCGCCGACGACGACCACGGCGGUCCCCACCACGACGACUCUCCCGCCGACGACGACCACGGCGGUCCCCCACCACGACGACUCUCCCGCCGACGACGACCACGGCGGUCCCCACCACGACGACUCUCCCGCCGACGACGACCACGGCGGUCCCCACCACGACGACCUCUCCCGCCGACGACGACCACGGCGGUCCCCACCACGACGACUCUCCCGCCGACGACGACCACGGCGGUCCCCACCACGACGACUCUCCCGCGACGACGACCACGGCGGUCCCCACCACGACGACUCUCCCGCCGACGACGACCACGGCGGGUCCCCACCACGACGACUCUCCCGCCGACGACGACCACGGCGGUCCCCACCACGACGACUCUCCCGCCGCCGACGACCACGGCGGUCCCACCACGAACGACUCUCCCGCCGCCGACGACCACGGCGGUCCCCACCACGACGACUCUCCCGCCGCCGACGACCACGGCGGUCCCCACCACGACGACUCUCCCGCCGACGACGACCACGGCGGUCCCCACCACGACGACUCUCCCGCCGACGACGACCACGGCGGUCCCCCACCACGACGACCUCUCCCGCCGACGACGACCACGGCGGUCCCCACCACGACGACUCUCCCGCCGACGACGACCACGGCGGUCCCCACCACGACGACUCUCCCGCCGCCGACGACCACGGCGGUCCCCACCACGACGACUCUCCCGCCGACGACGACCACGGCGGUACUCAUUAUGACAAAGACUCUCCCGCCGCCGACGACCACGGCGGUCCCCACCACGACCACUCUCCCCCCGACGACGACCACGGCGACCCCCACCACGACCACUCUCCCGCCGACGACGACCACGGCGACCCCCACCACGACCACUCUCCCGCCGACGACCACCACGGCGCUCCCCACCACGACCACUCUCCCGCCGCCGACGACCACGGCGCUCCCCACCACGACCACUCUCCCGCCGACGACCACGGCGGUCCCCACCACGACCACUCUCCCGCCGACGACGACCACGGCGGUCCCCACCACGACUACUCCUCCGACCACCACAGGUGUUGCCACGACCACUUAAGGUGCUGGAGGCACUGCUGCAGCAAAGCUAAAGUGAAGGUGUUUGCAAUAAAAUAUUUCAUUUUAAGUUUUUGUUGCUUCACUUGUGUACAGUCAUUU
RNAcentral lists this long non-coding RNA (2031 nucleotides) under Gouania willdenowi (blunt-snouted clingfish). Its description in RNAcentral is "lncRNA (ENSGWIG00000007932.1)". The record is from RNAcentral. Lineage: Eukaryota; Metazoa; Chordata; Actinopteri; Blenniiformes; Gobiesocidae.